AGUGAACGCUGGCGGCAGGCCUAACAUAUGCAAGUCGAGCGGCAGCGGGUUCCCGCGAGGGGAUGCCGGCGAGCGGCGGACGGGUGAGGAACACAUCGGAAUCUGCCUGGUUGUGGGGGAUAACGUAGGGAAACUUACGCUAAUACCGCAUGAGACCCUGAGUCGACGGACUGGGGGUGAAAGUGAGGGACCUUCGGGCCUCACGCGACCAGAUGAGCCGAUGUCGGAUAGCUAGUUGGCGGGGUAACGGCCCGCCAAGGCGACGAUCCGUAGCUGGUCUGAGAGGAUGAUCAGCCACACUGGGACUGAGACACGGCCCAGACUCCUA
RNAcentral lists this ribosomal RNA (328 nucleotides) under uncultured bacterium. RNAcentral describes it as "bacterial SSU rRNA". It matches the Rfam family "Bacterial small subunit ribosomal RNA", at positions 30 to 341 of the family's 1533-position model. The record is from RNAcentral.